This is a long non-coding RNA of Lontra canadensis (Northern American river otter), 383 nucleotides long. RefSeq lists it as uncharacterized. The transcript has 3 exons. The record is from RefSeq and is a predicted model, not a curated record. Lineage: Eukaryota; Metazoa; Chordata; Mammalia; Carnivora; Mustelidae.
AAAUGAACCUUCCCGCUGCCCCUGCGGGUUCUUCUUGUCCAGUGCCUGGGCCCUGACUGCUCCUCUACCUCCACACCCUUAUCUCCACAUCUCACCACUGACUCGUUGAUUUGUGAGGGCAUGUGAGCUUCUGGAAAGAGUAACACAGAGGAAGAGCAGUUCUGAGAACUAAGAACCGUGAAACUGGAAAACAAAACAGAACAGUGAAACGGAUGAUAGUCACGCCAUGGCCCCUUCUUCCCCUGGGAGACCUAGAACCAGCCCCUGUUAUAUACUGGACCUAACGCUACUUCUACCUCAAAACUGAACUGUUCCUUUGGGGCUAUUUGAACGCUAACUACUGACCAGAUAUUUGACCAUGUUAAGGAAUUACUGUUUCUUUU